This 119-nucleotide small RNA is filed under the name Marmota monax (woodchuck). Lineage: Eukaryota; Metazoa; Chordata; Mammalia; Rodentia; Sciuridae. The record is from RNAcentral.
GCUGGGCGCAGUAGUGCAGGCCUGUAAUCCCAGCAUCUCAGGAGGCUGAGGCAGGAGGAUCUGCGAGUUCAAAGCCAGCCUCAGCAAGCUCUAAGCAACUGUGUGAGACCCUGUCUCCA